RNAcentral lists this ribosomal RNA (494 nucleotides) under uncultured soil bacterium. RNAcentral describes it as "bacterial SSU rRNA". It matches the Rfam family "Bacterial small subunit ribosomal RNA", at positions 26 to 517 of the family's 1533-position model. The record is from RNAcentral.
AGAUUGAACGCUGGCGGCAUGCCUUACACAUGCAAGUCGAACGGCAGCACGGGAGCAAUCCUGGUGGCGAGUGGCGAACGGGUGAGUAAUAUAUCGGAACGUGCCCAGUAAUGGGGGAUAGCCCGGCGAAAGCCGGAUUAAUACCGCAUACGACCUACGGGUGAAAGCGGGGGAUCGCAAGACCUCGCGUUAUUGGAGCGGCCGAUAUCAGAUUAGCUUGUUGGCGGGGUAAAAGCCCACCAAGGCAACGAUCUGUAGCUGGUCUGAGAGGACGACCAGCCACACUGGGACUGAGACACGGCCCAGACUCCUACGGGAGGCAGCAGUGGGGAAUUUUGGACAAUGGGCGCAAGCCUGAUCCAGCCAUGCCGCGUGUGGGAAGAAGGCCUUCGGUUGUAACCACUUUUGUCGAGGAAGAAACGGCCUCUACUAACUAUUAGAGCUAAUGACGGUACUGAAGAAUAAGACACCGACUAACUACGUGCCAGCAGCCG